AGGCAGCAGGGGGAACGCGCAAGGGCGAAAGCCGACGCAGCCAGCCGCGGAAGAGAAGGCAGGAGAAUACCACCGGGGAAGAAAGACGGACCCGGAGAAGAAGCCCCGGCAACC
Molecule: ribosomal RNA, 114 nt
Filed under: uncultured bacterium
Lineage: Bacteria
Description: partial 16S ribosomal RNA
Source: RNAcentral